Molecule: microRNA precursor, 101 nt
Filed under: Marmota monax (woodchuck)
Lineage: Eukaryota; Metazoa; Chordata; Mammalia; Rodentia; Sciuridae
Source: RNAcentral
AAUAGGAUAACUGGGUCAAAUGGUGGUUCCAUUCUAAGUUUUCUGAGAAAUCUCUACUGCUUUCCAGAGUGGUUGCACCAAUUUGCAGUCCCACCAGCAAU